ACUCCUACGGGAGGCAGCAGUGGGGAAUAUUGGACAAUGGGCGAAAGCCUGAUCCAGCCAUGCCGCGUGUGUGAAGAAGGUCUUCGGAUUGUAAAGCACUUUAAGUUGGGAGGAAGGGCAGUAAGUUAAUACCUUGCUGUUUUGACGUUACCAACAGAAUAAGCACCGGCUAACUUCGUGCCAGCAGCCGCGGUAAUACGAAGGGGUGCAAGCGUUAAUCGGAAUUACUGGGCGUAAAGCGCGCGUAGGUGGUUCAGCAAGUUGGAUGUGAAAUCCCCGGGGCUCAACCUGGGAACUGCAUCCAAAACUACUGAGCUAGAGUACGGUAGAGGGUGGUGGAAUUUCCUGUGUAGCGGUGAAAUGCGUAGAUAUAGGAAGGAACACCAGUGGCGAAGGCGACCACCUGGACUGAUACUGACACUGAGGUGCGAAAGCGUGGGGAGCAAACAGGAUUAGAUACCCCUGGUAGGAUAGCG
This 476-nucleotide ribosomal RNA is filed under the name uncultured bacterium. Its description in RNAcentral is "bacterial SSU rRNA". It matches the Rfam family "Bacterial small subunit ribosomal RNA", at positions 335 to 799 of the family's 1533-position model. The record is from RNAcentral.